AGUCCCUUGCGAGCGUGAAGAUGAUAAGCAAGACGGAUUUUCUUGAAGAAACUAAACUAGGUUGUCACACAACUCAUCAAAAGAUGUUUCCAAGAG
Molecule: long non-coding RNA, 96 nt
Organism: Octopus sinensis (East Asian common octopus)
Lineage: Eukaryota; Metazoa; Mollusca; Cephalopoda; Octopoda; Octopodidae
Exons: 3
Source: RefSeq, a predicted model, not a curated record